Molecule: long non-coding RNA, 1421 nt
Filed under: Rhinopithecus bieti (black snub-nosed monkey)
Lineage: Eukaryota; Metazoa; Chordata; Mammalia; Primates; Cercopithecidae
Description: lncRNA (ENSRBIG00000045307.1)
Source: RNAcentral
AGAAGUAUUACUUCACAGUUGCAUUGGCUUCCUGUGGCCGCCAAUAGAGGCAGCAUCUGGCAGAAAGCCCACCACAGAGAAGAGGGAACUCCACGGAGAAGAAAAUAGUAACGAGGCCCCAAAGGUGGAAGUACAGCCUGAGAAACUUUGCCCAGGCUGGGACUGGCUGCCCUGCCUGCUUGUCUUGCUGCUCUUGCAGGGCCUAAGGUGUGGUAUCCCCUCAGGCUUUAAAAUCCCGAUAUCUCUCCCAUGGUGAGCACUUUUUAUAAGCGCUCUUCAUAUAUUCUUUAAUCUGUGUCAUUUAUUCCAUGUCAUGAAGCUAUGAGGCAGGUGCUAUUAUUAACUUCAUUUUUCAGAUGGAAACACUGAAGCUCAGAGGUGAAAUAAUUGCCCCACGACCCAGAGAAGUCAAGGUUUGAAACCCCCACAUGGCCAGCCUUGAAGCCCGGACUACUGAGACCGCAGCAACUGAGUUCUCAAGUGAAUAGCAAGAAGAUGAGGGAAACAAUGGGGCUCUCCUGAAAGCCCCCGGAGGAAGCGUCUACGGAUAUCUUUUUGGCCAGACCUGGGUUGUAGACACUUCAGCUUCAAGGGGCUCUGGGGAGGUAUGUGAUCUUCCAUGGGCAGCCUGCUGCCCUAAGCCCAGCUGGAGCCCUGUUAGUGAAGAACAAGGAGAGACUGGAGACCGGAGGCCAACCAGGGCAUCUGCCACUCUACUGCCACAAAUAAGUAGAUCAGCUGGGUUCCAAGGCUCUGGCGCAGUCUCAGAAGCGCAGAUGAAAGUAAUCCAGGUUGGCCAAGAGGGCUUCAUGGGAUGCCUCUGUAGCUCAUAGACCCGUGGUUCCUGUGUGUCUGCCGUGGGAAGCUCAGUAGGUAGAAAAAGAGGCUCUUUCUCAAGGCUGGCAGAGCCCCGGGUUGGGGCCACCCCUUGGCAAAUGGGGCGCAAGCAGGAUUUCAGCUUCAGCCAGCUCCUCAACCAGAUGUCUUUGUGCAGUGCACAAAUUGCACAACUGAACACAGAAGACCUUUGUAGCUAUCAGAGUAAAUUCGAAUUACAUAUCUGGUCCCUUCCUUUGUCCAAUCAGAGAUGAAAGCAGUACUGCUCCAGGAUAGUCAGGAAACAGAGGGCAAGGAAAAAAGUAGAGGGGAGUGUCAGAGCAGAAACCUCUAAAUAGUGGAGUUGACUGUUUUGAACCCUCAGCGUCAGCUGCUCCAUCUUACUUGGCUCAUUGUAAACCCACAGUCUCAGUUGGAAAGCCAAGAGGAUAUUUAUAUAGGGUGGAUCCAACCACAAACUAUCUGAAUUACUGUUGGAGAACCUGACUCUACUGUGCUCCAUAAGACUAGAGACAAUAUUUAUUUCAUUCACUGUUGUCUCCCCAGGUCUUCACAUGGUGCUUGAUAAAUAAGUGUUCAAUAAA